GCCUGCCAGAGGACCACAACUCUGUUUUUAGUGAUGUCUGAGUACUAUGUAAUAGUUAAAACUUUCAACAACGGAUCUCUUGGUUCUGGCAUCGAUGAAGAACGCAGCGAAAUGCGAUAAGUAAUGUGAAUUGCAGAAUUCAGUGAAUCAUCGAAUCUUUGAACGCACAUUGCGCCCUUUGGUAUUCCGAAGGGCAUGUCUGUUCGAGCGUCAUUAUAACCACUCAAGUCUGGCUUGGUAUUGGAGUUCGCUAUCGGCGGCCCCUAAAAUCAGUGGCGGCGCCUGUAGGCUCUACGCGUAGUAAUACUUCUCGCUAUAGGGUCCUGCGGGUUACUUGCCAACAACCCCCAAUUUUUUUUUAAGGUUGACCUCGGAUCAGGUAGGGAUACCCGCUGAACUUAAGCAUAUCA
RNAcentral lists this ribosomal RNA (410 nucleotides) under uncultured fungus. RNAcentral describes it as "eukaryotic LSU rRNA". The stretch from base 60 to 213 matches the Rfam family "5.8S ribosomal RNA". Lineage: Eukaryota; Fungi. The record is from RNAcentral.